RNAcentral lists this ribosomal RNA (501 nucleotides) under uncultured bacterium. RNAcentral's name for it is "bacterial SSU rRNA". It matches the Rfam family "Bacterial small subunit ribosomal RNA", at positions 29 to 523 of the family's 1533-position model. The record is from RNAcentral.
AACGAACGUUAGCGGCGCGCCUAACACAUGCAAGUCGAACGAGAAAGGGCUUUCGAGCCCCGGUAAAGUGGCGCACGGGUGAGUAACACGUAGGUAAUCUACCCCGGAGUGGGGGAUAACGUUCCGAAAGGAGCGCUAAUACCCCAUACGAUCGAAAGAUGAAAGCGGGCCUCUUCAUGAAAGCUCGCGCCCUGGGAUGAGCCUGCGGCCCAUCAGGUAGUAGGUGGGGUAAAAGCCUACCUAGCCUUAGACGGGUAGCUGGUCUGAGAGGAUGAUCAGCCACACUGGAACUGAGACACGGUCCAGACUCCUACGGGAGGCAGCAGUGGGGAAUCUUGCGCAAUGGGCGAAAGCCUGACGCAGCGACGCCGCGUGAGUGAUGAAGGCCUUAGGGUUGUAAAGCUCUGUGGAGAGGGACGAAUAAGGUAUGGUUAAUAGUCAUAUUGAUGACGGUACCUCUUUAGCAAGCACCGGCUAACUCUGUGCCAGCAGCCGCGGUAA